This 169-nucleotide ribosomal RNA is filed under the name uncultured Oceanobacillus sp. RNAcentral describes it as "partial 16S ribosomal RNA". It matches the Rfam family "Bacterial small subunit ribosomal RNA", at positions 359 to 525 of the family's 1533-position model. The record is from RNAcentral. Lineage: Bacteria; Bacillati; Bacillota; Bacilli; Caryophanales; Bacillaceae.
GGGGCUUCGCAUGGACGAGUCUGACGGAGCACGCCGCGUGAGUGAUGAAGGUCUUCGGAUCGUAAAACUCUGUUGUUAGGGAAGAACAAGGGUGAGAGUAACUAGGUCCUCCUUUGCGGGUCUCUAUCAGAAAAGCCCGGGCUACUACGUGCCCAGCGCCGCGGGUAUU